GAUGAACGCUGGCGGCGUGCCUAAUACAUGCAAGUCGAGCGAACGGACGAGAAGCUUGCUUCUCUGAUGUUAGCGGCGGACGGGUGAGUAACACGUGGAUAACCUACCUAUAAGACUGGGAUAACUUCGGGAAACCGGAGCUAAUACCGGAUAAUAUUUUGAACCGCAUGGUUCAAAAGUGAAAGACGGUCUUGCUGUCACUUAUAGAUGGAUCCGCGCUGCAUUAGCUAGUUGGUAAGGUAACGGCUUACCAAGGCAACGAUGCAUAGCCGACCUGAGAGGGUGAUCGGCCACACUGGAACUGAGACACGGCCCAGACUCCUACGGGAGGCAGCAGUAGGGAAUCUUCCGCAAUGGGUGAAAGCCUGACGGAGCAACACCGCGUGAGUGAUGAAGGUCUUCGGAUCGUAAAACUCUGUUAUUAGGGAAGAACAUAUGUGUAAGUAACUGUGCACAUCUUGACGGUACCUAAUCAGAAAGCCACGGCUAACUACGUG
Molecule: ribosomal RNA, 497 nt
Filed under: uncultured bacterium
Lineage: Bacteria
Description: partial 16S ribosomal RNA
Rfam family: Bacterial small subunit ribosomal RNA
Source: RNAcentral